GACGAACGCUGGCGGCGUGCUUAACACAUGCAAGUCGAACGGUAAGGCCCUUCGGGGUACACGAGUGGCGAACGGGUGAGCAACACGUGGGUGAUCUGCCCUGCACUUCGGGAUAAGCCUGGGAACCUGGGUCUAAUACCGGAUAGGACUCCGGACUGCAUGGUCUGGGGUGGAAAGCUUUUGCGGUGUGGGAUGGGCCCGCGGCCUAUCAGCUUGUUGGUGGGGGGAUGGCCUACCAAGGCGACGACGGGUAGCCGGCCUGAGAGGGUGACCGGCCACACUGGGACUGAGAUACGGCCCAGACUCCUACGGGAGGCAGCAGUGGGGAAUAUUGCACAAUGGGCGCAAGCCUGAUGCAGCGACGCCGCGUGAGGGAUGACGGCCUUCGGGUUGUAAACCUCUUUCAGCAUCGACGAAGCGAAAGUGACGGUAGGUGCAGAAGAAGGACCGGCCAACUACGUGCCAGCCGCCGCCGUAA
This 478-nucleotide ribosomal RNA is filed under the name uncultured bacterium. Its description in RNAcentral is "partial 16S ribosomal RNA". It matches the Rfam family "Bacterial small subunit ribosomal RNA", at positions 28 to 523 of the family's 1533-position model. The record is from RNAcentral.